This 449-nucleotide ribosomal RNA is filed under the name uncultured bacterium. Its description in RNAcentral is "bacterial SSU rRNA". It matches the Rfam family "Bacterial small subunit ribosomal RNA", at positions 542 to 988 of the family's 1533-position model. The record is from RNAcentral.
UAUCCGGAAUUAUUGGGCGUAAAGGGCUCGUAGGCGGUUCGUCGCGUCCGGUGUGAAAGUCCAUCGCUUAACGGUGGAUCCGCGCCGGGUACGGGCGGGCUUGAGUGCGGUAGGGGAGACUGGAAUUCCCGGUGUAACGGUGGAAUGUGUAGAUAUCGGGAAGAACACCAAUGGCGAAGGCAGGUCUCUGGGCCGUCACUGACGCUGAGGAGCGAAAGCGUGGGGAGCGAACAGGAUUAGAUACCCUGGUAGUCCACGCCGUAAACGGUGGAUGCUGGAUGUGGGGACCAUUCCACGGUCUCCGUGUCGGAGCCAACGCGUUAAGCAUCCCGCCUGGGGAGUACGGCCGCAAGGCUAAAACUCCAAGAAAUUGACGGGGGCCCGCACAAGCGGCGGAGCAUGCGGAUUAAUCCGAUGCAACGCGAAGAACCUUACCUGGGCUUGACAUG